Molecule: ribosomal RNA, 1346 nt
Filed under: uncultured bacterium
Lineage: Bacteria
Description: bacterial SSU rRNA
Rfam family: Bacterial small subunit ribosomal RNA
Source: RNAcentral
GACGAACGCUGGCGGCGUGCUUAACACAUGCAAGUCGAACGGAAAGGCCCUGCUUUUGUGGGGUGCUCGAGUGGCGAACGGGUGAGUAACACGUGAGUAACCUGCCCUUGACUUUGGGAUAACUUCAGGAAACUGGGGCUAAUACCGGAUAGGAGCUCCUGCUGCAUGGUGGGGGUUGGAAAGUUUCGGCGGUUGGGGAUGGACUCGCGGCUUAUCAGCUCGUUGGUGGGGUAGUGGCUUACCAAGGCUUUGACGGGUAGCCGGCCUGAGAGGGUGACCGGCCACAUUGGGACUGAGAUACGGCCCAGACUCCUACGGGAGGCAGCAGUGGGGAAUAUUGCACAAUGGGCGGAAGCCUGAUGCAGCAACGCCGCGUGCGGGAUGACGGCCUUCGGGUUGUAAACCGCUUUCGCCUGUGACGAAGCGUGAGUGACGGUAAUGGGUAAAGAAGCACCGGCUAACUACGUGCCAGCAGCCGCGGUGAUACGUAGGGUGCGAGCGUUGUCCGGAUUUAUUGGGCGUAAAGGGCUCGUAGGUGGUUGAUCGCGUCGGAAGUGUAAUCUUGGGGCUUAACCCUGAGCGUGCUUUCGAUACGGGUUGACUUGAGGAAGGUAGGGGAGAAUGGAAUUCCUGGUGGAGCGGUGGAAUGCGCAGAUAUCAGGAGGAACACCAGUGGCGAAGGCGGUUCUCUGGGCCUUUGCUGACGCUGAGGAGCGAAAGCGUGGGGAGCGAACAGGCUUAGAUACCCUGGUAGUCCACGCUGUAAACGGUGGGUACUAGGUGUGGGGUCCAUUCCACGGGUUCCGUGCCGUAGCUAACGCUUUAAGUACCCCGCCUGGGGAGUACGGCCGCAAGGCUAAAACUCAAAGGAAUUGACGGGGCCCCGCACAAGCGGCGGAGCAUGCGGAUUAAUUCGAUGCAACGCGUAGAACCUUACCUGGGUUUGACAUGGAUCGGGAGUGCUCAGAGAUGGGUGUGCCUCUUUUGGGGUCGGUUCACAGGUGGUGCAUGCCUGUCGUCAGCUCGUGUCGUGAGAUGUUGGGUUAAGUCCCGCAACGAGCGCAACCCUUGUUCACUGUUGCCAGCACGUUAUGGUGGGGACUCAGUGGAGACCGCCGGGGUCAACUCGGAGGAAGGUGGGGAUGACGUCAAGUCCUCAUGCCCCUUAUGUCCAGGGCUUCACGCAUGCUACAAUGGCUGGUACAGAGAGUGGCGAGCCUGUGAGGGUGAGCGAAUCUCGGAAAGCCGGUCUCAGUUCGGAUUGGGGUCUGCAACUCGACCUCAUGAAGUCGGAGUCGCUAGUAAUCGCAGAUCAGCAACGCUGCGGUGAAUACGUUCCCGGGGCU